This 790-nucleotide ribosomal RNA is filed under the name uncultured bacterium. RNAcentral's name for it is "bacterial SSU rRNA". It matches the Rfam family "Bacterial small subunit ribosomal RNA", at positions 8 to 810 of the family's 1533-position model. The record is from RNAcentral.
AGAGUUUGAUCAUGGCUCAGAAUCAACGCUGGCGGCGUGCCUCAGACAUGCAAGUCGAACGAUUAAAGCUCUCUUCGGAGAGUGUAUAGAGUGGCGCACGGGUGAGUAACACGUAAGUAAUCUACCUUUGAGUGGGGAAUAACAGUCGGAAACGACUGCUAAUACCGCAUAAUGCAGCGGCACCGCAAGGUGACAGUUGUUAAAGGAGCAAUCCGCUUAAAGAGGAGCUUGCGGCAGAUUAGCUAGUUGGUAAGGUAAUGGCUUACCAAGGCUACGAUCUGUAUCCGGUCUAAGAGGACGGUCGGACACACUGACACUGAAUAACGGGUCAGACUCCUACGGGAGGCAGCAGUCGGGAAUUUUGGGCAAUGGGCGAAAGCCUGACCCAGCAACGCCGCGUGAAGGAUGAAGUAUUUCGGUAUGUAAACUUCGAAAGAAUAGGAAGAAUAAAUGACGGUACUAUUUAUAAGGUCCGGCUAACUACGUGCCAGCAGCCGCGGUAAUACGUAGGGACCAAGCGUUGUUCGGAUUUACUGGGCGUAAAGGGCGCGUAGGCGGCUUGUCAAGUCACUUGUGAAAUCUCUGGGCUUAACCCAGAACGGCCAAGUGAAACUGACAUGCUAGAGUGCAGAAGGGGCAAUCGGAAUUCUUGGUGUAGCGGUGAAAUGCGUAGAUAUCAAGAGGAACACCUGAGGUGAAGACGGGUUGCUGGGCUGACACUGACGCUGAGGCGCGAAAGCCAGGGGAGCAAACGGGAUUAGAUACCCCGGUAGUCCUGGCCCUAAACGAU